Vigna radiata var. radiata (mung bean) is the source of this 1433-nucleotide long non-coding RNA. RefSeq lists it as uncharacterized. The transcript is spliced from 4 exons. The record is from RefSeq and is a predicted model, not a curated record. NCBI's taxonomy places the organism in Eukaryota, Viridiplantae, Streptophyta, Magnoliopsida, Fabales, Fabaceae.
UCUUGCGUUCCCCCGUUUCUUUUCACUAUCAACCAAAAUUUCCCCUUUUACCCUAAAUUUCAUAUUCAUCAAACCCAUUGUCCCAAUUUCAUUUCCGCUCAAAUUUCACGCUUUCUUCCUAAACCUGCAAUGGUGAAACAAGUCACUGCUGUGUUGGUGGAGCAAGUCGAUCGCAGCAGCAAUAUUUAAUAUGUUACCAUUAAAGCUUCUUUCCGGUGAGUACCUAGUUGUUCUUCUUUCUCAAUUUUAUUUUUUCUCUUACUCGAACCAAACCCUAGAACCGUGAGUGAAGAUUGGGAGCGGACAAGAGUGGAGUUGUUAUUGCAGGAAUGGUAAAGUGAGGAGUGUAAAGAAGAAGGACAGCGCGAGAAGCCCCACUUACCAUCGUUCCCUUCUUCCUCAUCUUUCACGUCCAAGAAAUCCCAUUCCUUUGCUCUAGGCAAUGCAGGGUAAGGGUUCACUCUGCAAUUGAUCAGCUCUUGCUAUAUCAAAGAUUGAAGAAAGCAAAGAAAGAGAAAGGUUAUACCGCCAAAGAAUGUAUCAAUAAAAUGGUUCUCUGUGUUGUUGGAAAAUGGAGCUCUAUAUACCGCAGCGUCACCAGGUUGUUGUGUUAAAAACAUGGCUAAGCCUUCCACUCUUGAAAAGACCCUUCUAAACGGUGACUCCAGUACAAGAAGCAACUCUGAUACCAUUAAGACAAAAGGAAAUGAAAAUUUACGCUGAAAUUCAAAUGCUGGAUUUUUUAAUAUUCUCACUUUCUCGUGGAUCAGUCCAUUAAUAACAUUAGGCAAUGAGAGGACUUUAAACCAUGAGGAUAUCCCACUUUAAACUAUGGGAUUUUUCAAACUUUUAGAAGCAAACUAGAGUCAGAGUGUGGUAGUGUUAGGAAUGUGACAACUCUUAAUCUGGCCAAGGUUUUAUUCUUGUGGACAUGGCAAGGGAUCUUCCUAUCAGGUUUAUUUGCAUUUUUGAUGUGUGCCUCUUAUGUAGGACCCUUUCUUAUUGAUAUCCUUGUUCAAUACCUCAAUGGAGAACACAUGUUUAAAAAUGAAGGAUAUGUUUUGACUGCGACAUUUGUUGCUGCAAAGCUUUUGGAGAGUCUUGCAGACAGGCAUUGCAUGUUCAGGUUCCAGCAGUAUGGGGUUCAAAUUCAAUCCAAGUUGGUGGCAAUGAUAUAUGCUAAAGUAUUUUUUUAGUUGCAGAUGUCAACAAUAUCGUGACAAUCAAAUAAUUGAAGUUAGGGAAGAUUGGUGCUUACAUGUAAUUAGUAUAUGUUUAUAGGUUAUGUUAUAGUGAUAUACAUGCUUAUAGGUACAAAUAGGAUAUAUAUGUUAUAGUUUUAUAUAUUGUCUUAUAAAGUAAUGUCAUGUCAUGAAACGUACUAGACGACUCAACGAUUAUUUUUGAAAUAUUAUUGUACCAAUAGUUUUUAU